AGAUGAUGUAAACUUACAUAUCUAAAUAUUUUUAUUUUGGAUUGUUGUUGUUUUUUUCUUUGUGUGAAAUCACGCUAUACGUGAUACAGUUAUUGUGUUGUUUUUAUUGUCGAUUUAUUAUCGUCAUAAAAUAAAAUCUGUACUGACAGUGCUUCCCUUCCUCUUGUGCUUUUUCUCCCACGUGUUGACCCACCUGAGUAGUACAGCACUGCCCUGUGCUCCCACUGCCAAGUCUAUUAGCCCAUCUCCAUCCAAGUCCAACCUAACACUCAAACUGCGGCCAAAGUACUGCAGGGAGGAGGAAAUCGAUGACCCUGCAAUACGCUAUCAGGACGGGAGCCAAAAAAGAGAAAUUAGUUUGAUUGGCUUCUCGAUCCUGCCAGCAAGCUUUUGGUGGUAGUGGUGCUCCCACCAGCAAGUCGGUGAAGCCGUCAUGGUUGAGGUCAGGGGCGGCUGCCAGCGCAUAACCAAACCUGGCGUCCUGGGACUUUUCCUCUGACUUCAGAGUUCCAUUGGACACAAACACCUCCUCCUGACAGACAAGAAAGAGGAGGGAAGGAAGGUGGCAGAGUUGGAGAUAUAGACUCUACCAGCUUCCUUGUUUCCUAAGCCGAGGUACAUCGGAGCAGCAACCAGAAGGACAUCGGUGAUGCCAUCCUGGUCAAUAUCCAACCCACACACCUCACUGCCAUAGUAGGAGCCAAUCUACAGACAGAGACAUGUCAUUUCAGCUUACUGCCAGUAGGUGGAGUCUUUGCUUUAAUAUCACUUUAAAAAGAUUCCUGCCGUUUUGCUAUUUAGAGUGACAUUGAAGAAAUGACAAAAGUUUUACCUGAUCUCCAUUAAGGGCCUGUACAAUGUUGACAUCGCCGUCAUCACUGAGUUCAAACAGGAUGACUUUGCCUUUGUGUUUGAAGCGAGGAGCCCCAGCUACAUACAGCCUCCUCCAGUCACCAACUGUCACUGAUGACACUGUGUAACCUGAAAACACGUUCACAUGCACAUCACCACACACUGAUGCUCAGUCUUCAGGUCUCAGUGAUAAAUUAUAGAAUCAUACCGGAUAAUUAGGUAUCAUUUAACUUGCUUACUUUUAAAUCAAGUGCACUCUCUGCUGAUAUUUUUGACUUUUUUUAACAUUUCUUUCUACAUGUUCAGCUUCAGUUCCCUCCAAUAUGGCAUAAAACAACCUUUAAGGAAAUCUGCCCCAGAGAAGUAAUGUAUCACAUCUUGUUGUUUUUAUUUUUUCUGUCAAUGUUUGUAUCAUGUUAUGUGUUAAUGCAGUCUAAAGUGCACUACUGAAGUGAUGUGUUUACGUGCACGUGGAAAGCUCCGACAUUUGUGAUUUAAAGGUGGGCUGCAAGAACAGGGGUGCAUUCACAAGCUAUGUUUUCUGACACGUUGAAAAAAAACAAGGAUGAAACACGGAUCAUGUAUUUUGGAGCUUAGUGCAUAGAGAGAAGUUUCUGUUUCACAUACAGUUAAAGGUGCUGAACUUAAAGUCCACUGGAGCACCAGACACCCAGGAGCCUCAGGAAGCCCCAGGUUCGCUGUUCGGUAAUUAUUUUGUAGAAAUUUUAUUUAAUGCAAAUCUGUGACUGCAGGUCAAAUGUUUGUUUUACUACUUAUAUUUCAGCUGAUAUUAAGCUUUAACAUGAAACAUAUUCUUCAGUGCAUUUUCAUUCAAUUAUCAAACAAAUGAUAGACUAAAGCAAAACAAAAUGGCAACCCAAAUGAUUAUCAGGUUAAUCAGCCAGUCUCUCAUGUCGGAGCUUCCCAACAACACAUGAAUGCACCACUGUAAAGGACAGACUCUUCAAGACACUCCACACAAUAACACAAUAAUCAGUGAGUGACAGUAAUACACUAACAAGUGAAAAAAAAGCCCAUCAUGUUUGUUGUGUUGUACCUAAAUAAGCGGCGUGAUUUUUGAGCUCCAGCGGAAACUCGCUCUCAAAAGCCUCUCUGGGCGGCACGAUGCGUCCAUUGGUCCCCUCCUUCAAAACUCCACCAUCCCAAUCGUAGGCACCGACCAUCCCAAACAAAAUGCCAUCCUGAACAACCAAUAGCAGCGCAAGGUUGAGAAACAGGUAAAAAUACAUUUAGUUCUUAUGCUGAUGAGAAAGUAUAGGUUGGACCCACGUCCAGUGUGUGUGUGGAGAAGCCGAUCUGAGACAUCUCCAUGUGGAAUGAGCUCUCGUUGUAGCCCAGCGUGCCUGCAGGUGGACAGAGACAACGAGUCAGCACUCUCCAUCGCCAUUGUUUCUUUACACAUCUCCUCCCUUCCUUCCACUACCGCUCAGCGACUGAUCGAGAUGACACCCUCACUCACCCUGAAGACCACAGGUGGCAGACGUGCCUCGCCCUUUCCUAACCUCCUGUCCUUUCCUCUCUGAUUUAAGGGUGGCAUCACCUUUCAUCAGCCUUCCUCUCCUCGUCUCUCAACUAUUGUGAUAGCUGUACACUCCCACCACCUUCUUUUCCCGUUCUUACUUGUUCUGCAGAACUGCUGUUUAUUUAUUUCAUUUUUUUUCUUUCCACAGUGAUCCCUCUCCACUUCGGACUCACAUUCUUGAACUUGUACCUCUGCUUUCCCAGACAUUACAACUUAAAGGGGCAGCACACGAUUUUGAUCGAAAUACACUUUUUGUAAAAAUCAGCAAAUAUUUCCUCAGGUUUUUCGGCGCAGCCUAACCCUAACCCUGUUCUAUCACACACCUUCCAGAGUGAAGAUCCGAUCUCCCAGGGCAUCCACAAUGUCAUUGAGUGCGGCUUCAUCCGUCACGUUGAAAAAGAAUUUUUCAUCGGGGUCGCUGGCGAUAUAUUUUAUCUCACUAAUGAAUGUCUCAGGGUCCUGCUGCCGGCGGAUAUAAUGACCCAAAACCUGAAGCCCAGAAUGGGAGAUAAAGAGAGAGAAAGAUUUUAAGAGAAAACACAAUAAAUGAAUAAGCAGACAGCACAAGUUUGAUAAAACAUUGAGGGAUUGGAGAUCAGACAUUACUUCUAAUGAGGAACAGUGAAGAGAGAUAUCAGUCUGUAGUUUGAGGGAGAAGAGGAGGGGGACAACACCACUCCGAGGACUCUGAAGCGACCUGGAAACUACAGGGUCCAACUCUCUAACAUCAAAAUAAACUGAUUUCAUAGCUGGUUCACUACCUGUGUAAUUUACCAGUAAUUAAUCAGUACCCAAAGACAACAAACUGACUGGAAAACACAAGACGAGAGGAAAUGGCAGCCACAAGAGAUUUGUAAAUGAGGUGCACAGGCCUAGCUCAGAGGUGAAGAGAUGACUGGUGCACAAGAUAUACUGUGGCAGCAGAGGCCUAUGGCUUAAUGCCUGAAGUAUAAAUGAGAAAAUUCCAUAAGAGAAACUAAACCCAAGAAUCUCCCCAAGUGACUCCAGCUGCCAAGCAAACUAAGGAAAUCCUCUGUUUUCAAAGGGCAGGGGAUGGAGGGGGGGUGUAGUAUGUAACAUGAACAGAGUCGACAUAUAAAUAUGUACAUUAAGAUCUUAUGAGAGCCAAGAAAUUCCAGUCAGUCUGCCAACCGCUGCUGUUUUUUUAUAAAGCAAUGAACAGUAAAGAAGAAAGACGAAAGUCUUUUCCAGAUUUCAAGGAUUUGCCAACACAGUUGUUGUCAAAUAUAUGACAGUGAGUGUCCAUAGACACUUAACAUGGUUCUGCAUGAACUGCUCCCCCGCAAACACACAAUUCACAGCCCCUGACCUGCACUGAUGUAUAAAACACAGUCCACAUUGCCACACUCAUGUUUUGAAAGCUCAGCCCUCCCUUGUGAGACAUUUUUACCGCACGCGCGCGCGCACACACACACGGCUGCUGUUACACGUAAAUAAAUAAAAAGCACCUCA
Molecule: long non-coding RNA, 3868 nt
Organism: Scophthalmus maximus (turbot)
Lineage: Eukaryota; Metazoa; Chordata; Actinopteri; Pleuronectiformes; Scophthalmidae
Exons: 3
Source: RefSeq, a predicted model, not a curated record